Molecule: unclassified non-coding RNA, 243 nt
Filed under: Hevea brasiliensis (rubber tree)
Lineage: Eukaryota; Viridiplantae; Streptophyta; Magnoliopsida; Malpighiales; Euphorbiaceae
Source: RNAcentral
UAAACAAAGUCAAUAUCAAAAACCCAAUUGAAAAUUCAUAUUCAAGUAUUAUGUACAUGAAAUUUUCUAUAAGAAAACCCUAGUUUUGGAGCACCAAGCGUUUGGCACAAACAGAGCAAUAGUACCUCCUCUUGGUCUUGAAGUACAGAGGCAAGAAACAGAACCUCCACUGGCUUUCUACAUCCAUGGACUGAAUCAUCCCUCCACAGUAAGGACAAGCUCCAGGCGCUACCUGUCUCCCUA